Molecule: long non-coding RNA, 347 nt
Organism: Wyeomyia smithii (pitcher-plant mosquito)
Lineage: Eukaryota; Metazoa; Arthropoda; Insecta; Diptera; Culicidae
Exons: 2
Source: RefSeq, a predicted model, not a curated record
AAAAGAGCUUUAGAAUUGGUUCAUUGAUCUUCUAAAUUCCGCUCGCGUCGCGAGCUGAUCAGAAGAAAAAUCAAUGAACCAGUUUCGCUCUUUUCGUUCCACCUUUGGCUGUCAUCCAAUUGUGUGUGUACUCGGCGUUAGCCAGCCCCUGUACCUGUGUGUGAACUGUGACAAGUGAAGUUUUUCCUUAGUGAGCGGAACCGCUCUGACUCUCUAACUGUAGUGAAACAAUUUUAUUACCUCUAAUAAUUGAGCAAAUGAAACGAAAAUUGGAAAGUGAGGAUUUCAGUUCACAAGAAAUGCUGCUGUAAUGAUAACAAUGUUUUUAGAGUCAAAUUGUUUGAUCG